This 1244-nucleotide long non-coding RNA is filed under the name Equus caballus (horse). RNAcentral describes it as "lncRNA (ENSECAG00000044530.1)". The record is from RNAcentral. Lineage: Eukaryota; Metazoa; Chordata; Mammalia; Perissodactyla; Equidae.
GUGGGGGCCCCCGCCACCUCCCUGCCUCCUGCGGAGGGCCGAGCCGGGACCACGUGCCCACCUUGCGCACUUACUGCUAAUGAGUGACUUCGUUCGUAAAUGCAUGCGGAGGGCCGUCCGGAGACACGUGGAAACCGGCCAGGCAGCGAAAGCGGGCGGAGGGCUGAGCAUGGCAGGCGGGGUCAGCGCCCCGUGAGACCGAGCGGGAGCUCAGCAGAAGGCAGAAUCCACACCCUCGAGGCUCAGUCCUGAUCCGAGGGCCGGAGUGGGGCUUCCCUGGCAGAGGACGUGCUUCGGAAGGGCCCGGGCUGAUGCUGGGUCAUCGCUGCGGCGGGUGGAGAUGUGUGGAGGCUGGAGAGAAGGGGCCAGGACAGGACCUUCCACAGUGCCACGUCCCGGUUCCCCAGCAUCCUGCCUGGCAGCGGACGGGCCGAGAUCUGGCCACGUGGAUUUUGUUCAGCCGCCCAGGGAGCUCUGGACCCAAGGCAGGGCGGAGCUCCCUCAGCCGUCCUGGAGUGAGGAGGGCAGAGCCGAGCGGAUGGCGCUCUGAUGGGGUUGCAGGUCACCUCGUCCCCAGUGUCCGCACUUGGUCCCCACAGCAGCACCACCAGCUGAUCUGUCUCCAUCUGUUGCCGAUGAUGACCCAUGACCUUGGAGAACUCCCAGGGGGACCGUGCACCCAGCACUACACACGGUGGUGUUUCUCGGACCUCCCUCCGACAUCCAGACUGGGGCCAGCCCUUCCCAGCUGUUGUGUUUCCUCCCUCCUCUCCAGAUGUGGCCGUUCCCUCCCGCCUUUGGGGGCAGCGGGAGAACAGCCGACACACCAUUACGUGCUGACCUCUCCGUCUCCUUCCACAGACUGGGGACCCUUAGGGACAGGGGCCAGGCCUUAUCCAUCAGUCUCCUCCAGAACCACCCGGGUGGGCAACCAGCAGGCCCUGGGCAGUGCAUCCACUGGGGUCAACACAGAUGGCAGGGCCAGGAGAGCACCUGGCCCCAACACCGUCUCAUGGCCGCAGCAGCCCUGGGCCAGCACACAGGUCAGCCACAGGUACCGGCUGGCCAGGUGUAUCAUCUGCAGAGCCAGCACAAACGAAAACGCAGGGCCCCUUUCGCAGAAACCACAGGAUUUCAGGAUGGCAAGAGCAGAGCCCGAAAUCACGGCGGGCCCUUCUUGAGCACACCAUCAGGCACCCAUGCAGCUGGCCCACCUGCCAGCCUCUGUCCAGAGGUCUCAGUCC